This 444-nucleotide ribosomal RNA is filed under the name uncultured bacterium. Its description in RNAcentral is "bacterial SSU rRNA". It matches the Rfam family "Bacterial small subunit ribosomal RNA", at positions 354 to 796 of the family's 1533-position model. The record is from RNAcentral.
GUAGGGAAUAUUGGGCAAUGGAGGCAACUCUGACCCAGCCAUGCCGCGUGCAGGAAGACGGCCCUCUGGGUUGUAAACUGCUUUUAUCUGGGAAGAAAAAGGCCAUGCGUGGCAAAUUGCCGGUACCAGAUGAAUAAGCACCGGCUAACUCCGUGCCAGCAGCCGCGGUAAUACGGAGGGUGCGAGCGUUGUCCGGAUUUAUUGGGUUUAAAGGGUGCGUAGGCGGCUGAUUAAGUCAGCGGUGAAAGACUUCGGCUUAACCGGAGCAGUGCCGUUGAUACUGGUUGGCUUGAGUGUCGGAGGGGUACAUGGAAUUGAUGGUGUAGCGGUGAAAUGCAUAGAUACCAUCAGGAACACCGAUAGCGAAGGCAUUGUACUGGCCGACAACUGACGCUGAUGCACGAAAGUGUGGGGAUCGAACAGGAUUAGAAACCCGGGUAGUCC